Molecule: long non-coding RNA, 287 nt
Filed under: Phaseolus vulgaris (common bean)
Lineage: Eukaryota; Viridiplantae; Streptophyta; Magnoliopsida; Fabales; Fabaceae
Description: long non-coding RNA (PVUL_LNC004375)
Source: RNAcentral
AGUCCAUCCCAUGAGGGGCAAGGCCAAGCUUUGAAAUACUCUUGUAUAGUUUUAGGAGGUGUGGUUAUUAAAUAAAGGAGUGUGAAAAAUGUAAAAUAAAGUCACAUUGUCCAUGUGACUUAGGAGAGUGGUGUAGGUGUAGUUUUUAGGAGGUGUCAUAGUAGAAAAAGGUCACACCUCCCAUGUGACUUGUUUUUGGUGGGAAUUUCAAAUGAGUUUAUUUGAAUUUUCCCACCUAUUUUUCAGCACCUCUAGGCUAUAAAUUAAGGUGUUGCCCUUGUACAUUU